RNAcentral lists this transfer RNA (74 nucleotides) under Melosira undulata. Its description in RNAcentral is "tRNA-His". It matches the Rfam family "tRNA". From Rfam's summary of the family: Transfer RNA (tRNA) molecules are approximately 80 nucleotides in length. Lineage: Eukaryota; Bacillariophyta; Melosirophyceae; Melosirales; Melosiraceae. The record is from RNAcentral.
GUAAAUAUAGCUUAAUAGGUAAAGUCUUAGAUUGUGGUUUUAAAAGUUACGAGUUCAAUUCUCGUUAUUUACCA